UGGGGUUGUGGCUCAGUGGUGGAGCACUCAGCUGGCACAUGCGGGGCCCUGGGUUCGAUUCUUAGCACCACAA
This 73-nucleotide transfer RNA is filed under the name Marmota monax (woodchuck). RNAcentral describes it as "tRNA.Ala". The record is from RNAcentral. Lineage: Eukaryota; Metazoa; Chordata; Mammalia; Rodentia; Sciuridae.